This 353-nucleotide ribosomal RNA is filed under the name uncultured cyanobacterium. RNAcentral's name for it is "bacterial SSU rRNA". It matches the Rfam family "Bacterial small subunit ribosomal RNA", at positions 33 to 417 of the family's 1533-position model. Lineage: Bacteria; Bacillati; Cyanobacteriota. The record is from RNAcentral.
ACGACGCUGGCGGCAGGCCUAACACAUGCAAGUCGAACGAACUCUUCGGAGUGAGUGGCGGACGGGUGAGUAACGCGUGAGAAUCUGGCUGUGGGUCGGGACAACCACUGGAAACGGUGGCUAAUACCGGAUGAGCCGAAAGGUAAGAUUUAUUGCCCACAGAUGAGCUCGCGUCUGAUUAGCUAGUUGGUAAGGUAAAGCGUACCAAAGCGACGAUCAGUAGCUGGUCUGAGAGGAUGAGCAGCCACACUGGGACUGAGACACGGCCCAGACUCCUACGGGAGGCAGCAGUGGGGAAUUUUCCGCAAUGGGCGAAAGCCUGACGGAGCAAGACCGCGUGGGGAGGAGGUUUU